RNAcentral lists this ribosomal RNA (510 nucleotides) under uncultured bacterium. Its description in RNAcentral is "bacterial SSU rRNA". It matches the Rfam family "Bacterial small subunit ribosomal RNA", at positions 28 to 584 of the family's 1533-position model. The record is from RNAcentral.
AACGAACGCUGGCGGCAUGCCUAACCCAUGCAAGUCGAACGAGACCUUCGGGUCUAGUGGCGCACGGGUGCGUAACGCGUGGGAACCUGCCUUUAGGUUCGGAAUAACUCCCCGAAAGGGGUGCUAAUACCGAAUAAUGUCUUCGGACCAAAGAUUUAUCGCCUUUAGAUGGGCCCGCGUAAGAUUAGGUAGUUGGUGGGGUAAAGGCCUACCAAGCCGACGAUCUUUAGCUGGUCUGAGAGGAUGAUCAGCCACACUGGGACUGAGACACGGCCCAGACUCCUACGGGAGGCAGCAGUGGGGAAUAUUGGACAAUGGGCGAAAGCCUGAUCCAGCAAUGCCGCGUGAGUGAUGAAGGCCUUAGGGUUGUAAAGCUCUUUUACCAGGGAUGAUAAUGACAGUACCUGGAGAAUAAGCUCCGGCUAACUCCGUGCCAGCAGCCGCGGUAAUACGGAGGGAGCUAGCGUUGUUCGGAAUUACUGGGCGUAAAGCGCACGUAGGCGGCGAUUC